This is a long non-coding RNA of Mauremys reevesii (Reeves's turtle), 595 nucleotides long. RefSeq lists it as uncharacterized. NCBI's taxonomy places the organism in Eukaryota, Metazoa, Chordata, Testudines, Geoemydidae. The transcript has 3 exons. The record is from RefSeq and is a predicted model, not a curated record.
AAACUCUCCCAGACCUGUUAUCUUGUCCUUCACAGAGGCAUGUAGGCUUCCCUUAUCACUACCGCUUCAGACUGCCUUGAGCUGUUAGCUGACUGUUACACAUUUUGUUUUGCAGCUACUUAGGUCGGUUAAAGUUCAUCAUGGAGGACCCUUGGUUCACUUAGGCCUAGAGCAGGGGGGCUUCAUCGACACUCGUGGUCUUCCACCCCCCCAAGUUACCUAGAGUUAUGCCUAGUGACACCAACACCCUGAUGUCAUUUUUAUUUGUCAAGAGCUGGAAGCUACAAUUAUCCUCAAUAACCUGUUUGAAAGAAAAGCAUCCCAAGUAAAGCAUCCAAUCAGGUGACAUGAUGCUCCCCUACAUAGCCCCCUCUAUCUUCCUCAACAGUUUUUGACUACCCUUUAUGAGAAGAGGUGGUGACCUAUCAUCAUCGUGUGUUAGAGAAAGCAAAGGAUAUUGCUGGUGUGAUAGACCCAGGCCAGUUGGGUACAACAAAGUAGCUGAAGGCAGAUGUACUGACCACUGGAUUAGCAGUUUUCUGUUCCCUGACUGACCAGAGCAGGGGCUGCUCCAGACUAAUGAGAACACCUGACU